UGAAAAUCCGCUUUCGGCCAUACUUCUGCCACUAUCGAAUUCUGGAGUAUCGAUUCUACUUCCGUCCGAUUUGAAACCUUUCCACGAGUGAAUUUCGUGCGACCAAUCUGACGAAGACAGAUUUAUAUAGCAAUCAUAUACAUAUAUAUAAAAGGCAAAGUAGAACAUAAUACAAAUUGUCCAAUCGUGUUAAUUUACUGUGGGAAUAUUCUUGAUAUCACUAGCAUUGGCUGUCUCUAAUUUGUAGCUUUUGUAUCAUUCGACCAAUCAGCUGAGAUAGCUGUUGCUAAUUAGUAUCUGGCGGUAAAUUGGUAAAAUGAAUUUUUAAGCAAGUCUUCCUAGAAUGGAAUAAGAUUAUAGCACCAUUAGUGGUGACAUUUGAAACUGGCAAUUUCAGAAAAUAUUACCGCCAUAGAUAAAAUACAAAAGGUAUAUGAUAAUCGGAAUAAAAGUUUACAUAUUUGAAAUCAUUAAAAUUUACUUUAUAAAUAUUUGCUAUUUUUUCAAAAUUAAAAAUACCAAUUAUAAUUGUGAUUUUUAAUUGCAAAUAUACGUAAAUAUGCUAAGAC
This is a long non-coding RNA of Hylaeus volcanicus, 569 nucleotides long. RefSeq lists it as uncharacterized. Lineage: Eukaryota; Metazoa; Arthropoda; Insecta; Hymenoptera; Colletidae. The transcript is spliced from 4 exons. The record is from RefSeq and is a predicted model, not a curated record.